CCAGUUCGAGACAAUCUUAUAAUUUGAAGAUCGUUGAUUUCAUAUUCAACAAUCUCCUGGUUUCUUUGGUCAUCAAUCCGGAUCCAUCAAGAAGAGUAGCUGAUAAUCUCUGAUAUUCCAAGUUCCAAUGGCGGAAAUGCCUAACAGUGACCCUCUUCCACCAGCAACUGCACAUAUGCUUCAGGCUCUUGAAGCCUUUCUGGAUACCCCACCACUUCCCUGUGUGUUCCGCUGUAUCUUUUGCCAUAAUCCCAUUGCUCAGGGCCAUAACUAUAUUCAGGAUCUUCAUCCAUUUUCCACGGCUCAGCUCCUCUUUGAUAACGCGUGAAUCUCCUGCAGGGAGUCUUGUGGAUAAGGUUUAUAUCUACUG
Vitis riparia (riverbank grape) is the source of this 370-nucleotide long non-coding RNA. RefSeq lists it as uncharacterized. The transcript has 4 exons. NCBI's taxonomy places the organism in Eukaryota, Viridiplantae, Streptophyta, Magnoliopsida, Vitales, Vitaceae. The record is from RefSeq and is a predicted model, not a curated record.